UUACUAAUCUCGAAUUUUUCU
RNAcentral lists this microRNA (21 nucleotides) under Apis mellifera (honey bee). RNAcentral's name for it is "ame-miR-3733-5p". Lineage: Eukaryota; Metazoa; Arthropoda; Insecta; Hymenoptera; Apidae. The record is from miRBase by way of RNAcentral.